ACCCCCAGCACACCCUGCAUCCCCUUCACCUCCUUCAUCCAUUACACCCCCUUCACCUCCCUCAUCCUCUUCAUCCCAUCCACCUCCUUUAUCCCUUUCACCCCCUUCAUCCUCUUCACCCCCAGCAUCCCCCCCUGGGCCCUGCCCAGUUCCCUCCUGCCCCAGCCAUCACCAUCUCCCAGACAACGAGGAGAGCAGGUUCACUUUCCCUAUUGCUUUUAUUUCUGGGGUUUUUUUGUCUGUUUUUUGCCUUCUCAUACUAAAGCAGCUCAGCAGCUCGGUGGUUUUCUUGUGUGUGACUGAAAACUAAAAAAAAACCAAAGUGGCUGAGGGCAAAUUAUUUGAGUCACUGAAGUGAUGUGGGGACUGACCCUCACACCCCCUGAGGGGCCUGGGCUGGGGCCCUUUUAUGCUCCACAUACAUUGUCCUGUCCCAUCUAAACCAAAUUUUCCUCACUAAUUUCUAAGCAAGUACCUGAGAGGUAAAAAAAAUAUCCAUAAUCACCUCCUGGCAGAUGUCUGUAUUUGUAUUGCAGUCUCUCUCCCCUUAAUUUCUACCUCACCUGAAUACUCUAUUCUUAAUGCAAUCAGAGAUGUAAUCCUCAUGGGGUAGGACUAUAUUUGACCUGGAAUUAUUAAGAAUUUGCCAUUUUCCCAGAGGAAAACAUGCUGACUUAAACCUGUGGAAAAUGGAAGACAUUAAUACAGUGGAUUUGAACACCUCUGUAGUGAUGCUUAACUCUGGUAAGCAACAGCAGACUGAGAAAUAACUCUGAUGAACACACUGAUGUUCCCACCGGAACACUCAGGAUGCACUUAUAUUAAAAAAUGUUGUUUUAGAUACACCAUAAUCAGUUCUGAAACCUAUAAUUUUAGUAGUAAGAAAAUCUCAAAUAUGUUUAAACUAAUUUAACUUAUUAGCUUAAAUGAAUUCUAAUUUACUCGUAUUAACAUUAAGGUUUAUAAUUAAGCUAAAGUAAUUACACCUCUAAGUUUUGAUGUUGUAUUUAAAAAAAAAAUGAAGUCUUCCAUUUUAGAUGUUAGAGCCUGUGUAACAGGGAAGUUGAAAACAUAGAACAAACUACAUACCCUAUUAGCUAAAGUAUAAACCUUUCUACCUUCAGGAUUAUAUAUAAAGUUUCCCAGAAGUAUCAUAAAUAACAGAAAUUAUAACUUUUCUCUACUUGUGUGUACAAGUCAUCUUUUUUUCCCUGCCUUUACAUUGAGAAUAUCUACCAUCUGGUGGUGUUCCAGGGGACUUGCACUUGCAAUUUACACUUUCUGGUGGUCAGAGAAGCCUACAAAUCUUUAGGUGAUUGAAGUUCUGAACCGUUCAUUUGUGGUAUUCUGAAAAUAUCAGUAUUGCUGCUAUUGUGCUCUCCAAAAUGAUGAAUUAGCUCUUCAGGUUCCCUGGGUGUGUGCAAGCACACAGGGACAUGAUAACAUGAUACCAGCACACAGAAGAAACAAAUACUAGCAAAAGCUCUUUUGUAAAUCUUGAAUGUGUGACUGAAUAUAUAUAUUCAGGGUGACUUAAAAGAGAGAGAGAAAAGGAACUUCUUGUGUGUGGAAAUCUUAGUGAGCCAUGGCAGGAAAAAAUAGUUCUAGAAAAGAUUUUUCUUAUCAGAGGGUCUAAAGCAGCAUUGAAACUAGCUGGACUCCAGUGAUACCAGUAGGGCCAGUUCUUCUCUUGUUAACUGGGACAAGGUCUCUUUUAUCACAACUUUCUGUGCUGUUCUAGUUGUCCCUACAAACACAGGAGACAAUGUGCUGCCUGUUAUGGCUCUCACUAAUAAUGUCCCUGGGAAAAACUGAUACAGUUGAACUGCUUGGGUUACUGGUUAUUAAUAGCUCUGAGUUUAAGUAAUAUUACCAUCUUUUUCUAUAAGUGUAUUUUUGGUAGAUGAAUUGACUGAACUGCUAAGAUAUUUUGGGAGGUUGUGCUUGAAAUGUCCUGGGGAAUGAGACUCUUAAAACUCAGUUGUUAAGUAUUCCUGCUCCUUCCCUGCUGGUUUAGGUGAACCUUUCCAACCUCCAGGUCCACCACAGUCCUUAUUUUUAUUUCUGCUUUCUACAGCCUGGCUCACUUUUGCACCAGGAGCAGGUUUCAUUAUAGAAAUCUAAUUUUUCACAGAAUAAACCAACGUCCAACCUUUUACACUACUCAAAUGUCUCAUGGUUUGCUUGUCACUCUAGUCUGUGUUGGUUGCUCACCUGUUAUAUUGUACAAAUAUACAACCACAAGUUGCUGAACCACAAGUGCUGCUUUUCUGCUCUGGAGAGGUCCCUUUUCAGGCCACUUUAUGGAACUGAUCACAGAGCAUUUUACUUCUGGCCAAGGCUGAACAUUGCCCUCUCCAGAAGGUGGCAGCUGCUGAGGUCUGCAGUCCAGCAGAUGAUUUACAGUCCUGGGUCUGGGGUAUGUGCACGGAUUCAGUGGGAACUGCUGAACAACAGCAGUGGAGGAUCUGGCCUCUCUGUUCCCAGAUUUUACUGUGCAGCCUGAGCAAGUGCUGCCAAGGGCACACUCCCUAGGACGAGGAUGAAGAAUGGAACUUUCAUAAACAUCUUUGCUCUGCUUGGAGAGUCGCUUUUCCUAAUCCCCAGACCAGAUGGAUCCAAACUCGGAUUAAUUUUUAUUUAGAGGCAGCGGAGAACUGAGAUCCCAAAA
Molecule: long non-coding RNA, 2671 nt
Organism: Pseudopipra pipra
Lineage: Eukaryota; Metazoa; Chordata; Aves; Passeriformes; Pipridae
Exons: 4
Source: RefSeq, a predicted model, not a curated record